RNAcentral lists this ribosomal RNA (253 nucleotides) under uncultured bacterium. Its description in RNAcentral is "partial 16S ribosomal RNA". It matches the Rfam family "Bacterial small subunit ribosomal RNA", at positions 524 to 776 of the family's 1533-position model. The record is from RNAcentral.
UACGAAGGGUGCAAGCGUUGUUCGGAAUCAUUGGGCGUAAAGCGCGCGCAGGCGGAUUUGCAAGUCAGAUGUGAAAUCUUAGGGCUCAACCCUGAAACUGCGUCUGAAACUGCUAGUCUAGAAUGUCGGAGGGGGUAGGGGAAUUUCACGUGUAGGGGUAAAAUCCGUAGAGAUGUGAAGGAACACCGGGGGCGAAGGCGCCUACCUGGACGACUAUUGACGCUGAGGCGCGAAAGCGUGGGGAGCAAACAGG